UGACCUCGGAUCAGGUAGGGAUACCCGCUGAACUUAAGCAUAUCAAUAA
RNAcentral lists this ribosomal RNA (49 nucleotides) under Aspergillus flavus. Its description in RNAcentral is "partial 28S ribosomal RNA". The record is from RNAcentral. Lineage: Eukaryota; Fungi; Ascomycota; Eurotiomycetes; Eurotiales; Aspergillaceae. RNAcentral also lists the same sequence under 26 other names.